GGAGGGAUUCAGAGUAGAGCCACUGCCCCUUUGCAUUGAAAGGAGCCAGCUGAGAUGGUUCAGCAUCUGUUGAGGAUGCCCCAUGAUAGGUCUUCCAGAUACAUCUAACUGGGAGGAGGCCAUGGGGAAGACCCAGGAUACGCUGGAGGGAUUAUAUUUACCAGCUGGCUUGGGAACACCUCUGGAUUCCCUA
Molecule: long non-coding RNA, 193 nt
Organism: Thalassophryne amazonica
Lineage: Eukaryota; Metazoa; Chordata; Actinopteri; Batrachoidiformes; Batrachoididae
Exons: 3
Source: RefSeq, a predicted model, not a curated record